UGAGAAUCUGCCCUUAGGAUGGGGACAACAGUUGGAAACGACUGCUAAUACCCAAUAUGCCGGAAGGUGAAACUUAUAUGGCCUGAGGAAGAGCUCGCGUCUGAUUAGCUAGUUGGUAGUGUAAUGGACUACCAAGGCGACGAUCAGUAGCUGGUCUGAGAGGAUGAUCAGCCACACUGGGACUGAGACACGGCCCAGACUCCUACGGGAGGCAGCAGUGGGGAAUUUUCCGCAAUGGGCGAAAGCCUGACGGAGCAAGACCGCGUGAGGGAGGAAGGCCUACUGGUUGUAAACCUCUUUUGAUAGGGAAGAACACAAUGACGGUACCUAUCGAAUCAGCCUCGGCUAACUCCGUGCCAGCAGCCGCGGUAAUACGGAGGAGGCAAGCGUUAUCCGGAAUUAUUGGGCGUAAAGCGUCCGUAGGUGGUUAUCCAAGUCAGUUGUUAAAGCGUAGAGCUUAACUCUAUAAGGGCAAUUGAAACUGGGUGGCUAGAGUGCGAUAGGGGCAAGGGGAAUUCCCAGUGUAGCGGUGAAAUGCGUAGAUAUUGGGAAGAACAUCGGUGGCGAAAGCGCCUUGCUGGGUCUGCACUGACACUGAGGGACGAAAGCUAGGGGAGCAGAAAGGGAUUAGAUACACCCAUGCUAGUCUAAAAUCCCAACCA
RNAcentral lists this ribosomal RNA (662 nucleotides) under uncultured Oscillatoriales cyanobacterium. Its description in RNAcentral is "bacterial SSU rRNA". It matches the Rfam family "Bacterial small subunit ribosomal RNA", at positions 118 to 809 of the family's 1533-position model. Lineage: Bacteria; Bacillati; Cyanobacteriota; Cyanophyceae; Oscillatoriales. The record is from RNAcentral.